AGCUGAGCGCUCGUCCCUCCGCGCGCUUCUCGCCGCCGUCUGCUUUCCUUGGUCGCCGCCGCAGCUGCGGGUGGAGAAAAGCUUUGCAAAAGUUCGCUCCGGGACCCAGGGGCUCUCCGGGCGACAGUCGCCGCUCUCCGCGCUGUCAGCGGCGCCCGGGCAGCGGGACGCUCCUCCAGGGGGCGGUUGGAGAAGGGGCUCUUCGGGCGCUCCCCAAAACACCAACCCAGGAGCCACAGGCGCUAGCUCUGGGCAGUUGGAGAGAAACUGGAAAAGGAAAUAAGAUCUGCAGUUCGGACUGGUGCCGUCCUGACAGUGUCUGCCUGUCUCCCGGAGUCCCAGCACCUCCACUCGCGCCUCGCAGCGACCGCCACACUCAGUGCAACUCUGAGUCCUUAUCCAGCCCGAGCUCAACACUUAUCUGCUACCAGUCAACCCCUAAAAAUAGCCCAUGAUGUCACCCCAAGGCCUUCGCAUUGGCUCGCGUCGCUCUCAAGGGGGCGGGCCCGCCCGUCGCCAUGGAGACCCCACCCUAGAAGAUUCUUCUCCGGACCCGCGGAGGCUCACGGGAUGAGUUUGUCAACUUGGAUACAUGCAUCCACAUCACAGUUGGAGUAAAGAGGCAGAAAUGAAAACUGAAAUACAAUUGUGCCUGCACCUGUUGUCUUUCAGAGGAUCCUCACAGCAGUCUUCUGAGUAAACUGAGGUUCAGAGUUGAUAAUCCUUCUACAAAGACCUGUUGAUGAAUGCCACAAAAAGUUCAGGAGGAAAGGGGGAUUCCUCAGAUAUUAAAAAAGGUACUAUGUCAGGCCCUGGGGAUACCACUCAUUCCCUCUCCUUACGGGAAUUGCUUGCAGCACCCAGCUGCCCCUGCCCACUCUCGGUGAAUACUUGCUGAAGAAAUGCUGAAAUGAGAGAACACAGGCUUGAAGAAGUCAUCACAAAAGCUGAGCUCCCACCAUGGACCAAGGCCCUGGGCCAAGACGGAUAAGAGGCCUGGAUUUACUCUCCCACCUGAAACAACCAAAAAGACCUGACAAUAUAUCAAACAGUGGUUCUCAGAGCACCAGCUAUCUGGAAAUGAAGGGCAGCGACCCCUGAAAGACAGGAAGCCAGUGAGGAAACUUCCCGCGUCUUUAUGUACCAACACCUGUGAUUAAGCAAAGCUUCGUUUAAAACCACAGUCCGUGUUCACAUCCAGAACAUAAACAAACCGAGGACUUGCUGUUCCAUGCCCUCCCUCCCAACUUUCCAAAAGAAUAUCUUCUCAACAUAAAGAGAGAUGCACUCUUCGUUUCUGUGGAAAACAAGUGCUCCUGGUUAUAUGAUCACACACCCCUGAAACGGUUACGUUUCUUCAUGUGCUGCAUUUUAGAAGGCCCAUAAAAGAGUUCUUGUCGAGAGAAAACACAGCUGGUGCCCAAUUAGAGAGGUGAUCAAGACUAAUUGACCGCGAGAGCUCGUAAUGAAGCCAGACCCCACGCUGCCGAGAGAGAGAGAGACUGCGGCUGGGGAUGGAGGUGGCACCACUCGAUCACGCAAAGGCCAUGACUGAGAGGGGUGGAUGGUUUAUUCCGGGAGGCAGAGUUGGUCAUGUGGUGACCCCUGAAUUGAAGGUUUAAAGGCUGGCUCUGCAAGGCUGA
Myotis brandtii (Brandt's bat) is the source of this 1643-nucleotide long non-coding RNA. RefSeq lists it as uncharacterized. Lineage: Eukaryota; Metazoa; Chordata; Mammalia; Chiroptera; Vespertilionidae. The record is from RefSeq and is a predicted model, not a curated record. The transcript has 8 exons.